AGUGAACGCUGGCGGUAGGCCUAACACAUGCAAGUCGAACGGCAGCACAGUAAGAGCUUGCUCUUACGGGUGGCGAGUGGCGGACGGGUGAGGAAUACAUCGGAAUCUACUUUUUCGUGGGGGAUAACGUAGGGAAACUUACGCUAAUACAGCAUACGACCUACGGGUGAAAGCAGGGGAUCUUCGGAUCUUGCGCGAUUGAAUGAGCCGAUGUCGGAUUAGCUAGUUGGCGGGGUAAAGGCUCACCAAGGCGACGAUCCGUAGCUGGUCUGAGAGGAUGAUCAGCCACACUGGAACUGAGACACGGUCCAGACUCCUACGGGAGGCAGCAGUGGGGAAUAUUGGACAAUGGGCGCAAGCCUGAUCCAGCCAUACCGCGUGGGUGAAGAAGGCCUUCGGGUUGUAAAGCCCUUUUGUUGGGAAAGAAAAGCAGCAGGUUAAUACCCCGCUGUUCUGACGGUACCCAAAGAAUAAGCACCGGCUAACUUCGUG
RNAcentral lists this ribosomal RNA (492 nucleotides) under uncultured bacterium. RNAcentral describes it as "partial 16S ribosomal RNA". It matches the Rfam family "Bacterial small subunit ribosomal RNA", at positions 29 to 507 of the family's 1533-position model. The record is from RNAcentral.